GAUCAUGGCUCAGGAUGAACGCUGGCGGCGUGCUUAACACAUGCAAGUCGAACGAAGCAACUAUCUUGCUGCAAGAGAGUGACUUAGUGGCGGACGGGUGAGUAACGCGUGGGUAACCUGCCUCAUACAGGGGAUAACAGUUGAAACGACUGCUGAGACCGCAUAACCCGCUAGUGUCGCAUGACACGGACGGAAAAUAUUUAUAGGUAUGAGAUGGGCCCGCGUCUGAUUAGCUAGUUGGUAAGGUAACGGCUUACCAAGGCGACGAUCAGUAGCCGACUUGAGAGAGUGAUCGGCCACAUUGGGACUGAGACACGGCCCAAACUCCUACGGGAGGCAGCAGUGGGGAAUAUUGGACAAUGGGGGAAACCCUGAUCCAGCGAACCGCCGCGUGAGUGAAGAAGUAUUUCGGUAUGUAAAGCUCUAUCAGCAGGGAAGAUAAUGACAGUACCUGACUAAGAAGCCCCGGCUAACUACGUGCCAGCCGCAGC
Molecule: ribosomal RNA, 491 nt
Filed under: uncultured bacterium
Lineage: Bacteria
Description: bacterial SSU rRNA
Rfam family: Bacterial small subunit ribosomal RNA
Source: RNAcentral